CUAGUAGUCACGUAGUUGAUCCUGGCUCGAGAACGACGCUGGCGGCAUGCCUAACACAUGCAAGUCGAACGAGACCUUCGGGUCUAGUGGCGCACGGGUGCGUAACGCGUGGGAACCUGCCUUUAGGUUCGGAAUAACUCAGAGAAAUUUGAGCUAAUACCGGAUAAUGUCUUCGGACCAAAGAUUUAUCGCCUUUAGAUGGGCCCGCGUUGGAUUAGCUAGUUGGUGGGGUAAAGGCCUACCAAGGCGACGAUCCAUAGCUGGUCUGAGAGGAUGAUCAGCCACACUGGGACUGAGACACGGCCCAGACUCCUACGGGAGGCAGCAGUGGGGAAUAUUGGACAAUGGGGCGAAAGCCUGAUCCAGCAAUGCCGCGUGAGUGAUGAAGGCCUUAGGGCUGUAAAGCUCUUUUACCCGAGAUGAUAAUGACAGUAUCGGGAGAAUAAGCUCCGGCUAACUCCGUG
RNAcentral lists this ribosomal RNA (464 nucleotides) under uncultured bacterium. Its description in RNAcentral is "bacterial SSU rRNA". It matches the Rfam family "Bacterial small subunit ribosomal RNA", at positions 1 to 507 of the family's 1533-position model. The record is from RNAcentral.